This 465-nucleotide ribosomal RNA is filed under the name uncultured bacterium. Its description in RNAcentral is "partial 16S ribosomal RNA". It matches the Rfam family "Bacterial small subunit ribosomal RNA", at positions 338 to 795 of the family's 1533-position model. The record is from RNAcentral.
CCUACGGGUGGCUGCAGUAGGGAAUCUUCCACAAUGGACGAAAGCCUGAUGGAGCAACGCCGCGUGAGUGAAGAAGGGCUUCGGCUCGUAAAGCUCUGUUGGUAGAGAAGAAAGAUAGAGGUAGUAACUGGUCACUAUUUGACGGUAUUUACUUAGAAAGCCACGGCUAACUACGUGCCAGCAGCCGCGGUAAUACGUAGGUGGCAAGCGUUGUCCGGAUUUAUUGGGCGUAAAGCGAGGGCAGGCGGUUCAAUAAGUCUGAUGUGAAAGCCUUCGGCUCAACCGGAGUAUUGCAUCAGAAACUGGUUAACUUGAGUGCAGAAGAGGUAGGUGGAACUCGAUGUGUAGCGGUGGAAUGCGUAGAUAUAUCGAAGAACACCAGUUGCGAAGGCAGCUCACUGGUCUGCAACUGACGCUGAGGCUCGAAAGCAUGGGUAGCGAACAGGAUUAGAUACCCCAGUAGUC